AGAAUCAACGCUGGCGGCGUGCCUAACACAUGCAAGUCGAACGCGGUUACCCCGCAAGGGGUGACUGAGUGGCGAACGGGUGAGUAACACGUGGGUGAUCUACCUUUGAGUGGGGGAUAACGUUCCGAAAGGAACGCUAAUACCGCAUGACGUUCUGGGUUUGAAGACCUGGAAACCAAAGUCGGGGACCGCAAGGCCUGACGCUUGGAGAGGAGCCCGCGCCUGAUUAGCUAGUUGGUGAGGUAAUGGCUCACCAAGGCGACGAUCAGU
This 270-nucleotide ribosomal RNA is filed under the name uncultured soil bacterium. RNAcentral describes it as "partial 16S ribosomal RNA". It matches the Rfam family "Bacterial small subunit ribosomal RNA", at positions 26 to 284 of the family's 1533-position model. The record is from RNAcentral.